GGACUACCCGGGUUUCUAAUCCUGUUCGCUCCCCAUGCUUUCGCUUCUCAGCGUCAGUAGUGGCCCAGAGACCUGCCUUCGCCAUCGGUGUUCCUCCUGAUAUCUGCGCAUUUCACCGCUACACCAGGAAUUCCAGUCUCCCCUACCACACUCUAGUCUGCCCGUACCCACUGCAAGUCCGGGGUUGAGCCCCGGAUUUUCACAGCAGACGCGACAAACCGCCUACAAGCUCUUUACGCCCAAUAAUUCCGGACAACGCUCGCACCCUACGUAUUACCGCGGCGGCUGGCAC
Molecule: ribosomal RNA, 292 nt
Filed under: uncultured bacterium
Lineage: Bacteria
Description: partial 16S ribosomal RNA
Source: RNAcentral